CUGUGUUGCGGCAGAUACUGGAGCCGUUAAUAGGCAAUGUUAGAAAAAUAAGAUUCUGGCUAUGAAACAAAAGACCGUUUUAGGUUGGAGAAGUAAAUAAUAGUAAGAAUAAGGACUUUUGCAAAAGCCAAGAGCCUUCAGAUGGUCGGAAUAAGUAGUGGAUGCUGAAAGAAUGAAUAAUGUCAUCAAACUGGCCUUUUGUCUGACGCGGUUACAGCUGUUUUUCUUGCCUACUUACAGGGUUUAUGACUUUAUUUUAAACCAAAUAAUUACAAUGGAAACACCCUCCAUAUUCCAGUCACGAACUUGCCAUUCAACAGAUAAUACUGUUCACCUUCAGCCAAGAGACUAAUUCUGUGAUACAUAAUGCAUCUUCCACCUUUCAGAAGAUCCGAGUUCUAGAAACCAGACAGAAGAGGGAGCUAUCCAUCUGGAAAUUAACUGAUCCUUUCAAAAAUAUGUCAAAUAAAUAUAGAAGGAAAUUCUAACACGACCAAGUCUUAGUCUAUUUGGUCUUGUAUUUUAUAGCAACAUUACAAAUUUUCCGGUGCAUUAAAAGCAAAAAAGAAAACUUCCAGUAAAGGCAAAAACAAUGAGCUAAAUUAACGAAGAGGCAAAAUAAAGGAACCAUUAGAAGUCCGGCUAAAAAUAGUCUCAGAUUUAUGGUUGAUUUCCCACAUUAUAGCAAAAUAUAGAACCAGAACACACCCCCAAAAAGCCAAAAUAAUAGACUGCUGCCAUACACAUCACUAAUAUUGCCUUCCUAUAGAUCCUGAUCAUAAAAAGGAACUCUGACUUUAAAAUUGGUAACAUCUGGAAAUGGCAAAAUAGAAAAACUGUUGGGCUGCAUCUGUCUUGAAAAUGCUAUGUAAUAAGAUUUACUUAAUAUAUUUGAAAGAGAAAAAAAAAAGUUUUGUUCCCCAAUUUGUUGCAACAUCUGAAAGUUCAUGAGGUUAUGACCCCUCUUUAAGAAAGCAUCUCCCACCACCUGCAAAUACCCCAGGAAAAGCAGUUGGAAACAAUAAAACACGUGCUAGUUAACGGUUACCAGGGAAACGGUUCUGGUUCACCAAUCUGAGCGCCUGCGCUUCCCAGUGGCUUUGUCUGAGGGAGACAUGCGCCAGCUGUUAGUGAAUAACCAUUGUUAUAGAUCAUCAGGAAAUCACAGUCAGCCUGCAACCCAGCCCCACUGGAAGUUUAUUCCUCAUAUUUGUUCAUCACCAGGGCAAUCCUCCACCUUUAAAACAUCCCCUUAGGCUGGGUUAACUAAAUAAUACCCUGCACCGGCAGGAACUUUUAAAGGGGGCAAAUUGCAAAAAGGUCUUUUUGCGCAGCAAAUAGAUUUCUAACUUCGAUCCCAACUGCGUCACCUUCCUGCCCCCUUCACUUUCCAGUGGCAAUUACAGGCCAGAUACCUGAAGUCAGUGCCCCUUUGGGUGCCGUCCUUCCUUGCCUUGGUAGGACACUCGUGCACAUAGGUAACCCUCUCCUAGAGCUUUCAGAGAUCAUUGGCUUAGUCUAUGCUACAGAGAGCCCUAUGAAUGUUAAAUGAAGGACUCAGCAAGGCAUUUGGGGCUGCCACCAGAUGAGGGUCUGAGAGGAGGACAAAACAAUGGGUCCCUGCCUCACCAACACACACAUUCCAAACAGAACAGCCUCCAGUUUUACCAAUUUUAUAUUUUAUGUUGUUUUAUAAAUUUAUAAAUGCAAAGAUUUUCUCUGAAACAAGAUCAUAUUGCCUUUUUAAUGUUUAAAAGUCAAUGAGCUCCAAACCCAAUUAUCAGACUCAACUUGAAAAAUAGAUUUUUAGACUUCCACGUUCCCAUUUGGCAUGCACAGAGCUUAGAAGUCACUGCUCCAUCCUAACAAUAAAAAGCUGAACAAACUGAAAAAAAUCAACAACUCUUCUUAGAUUUAUCAGAGAAGUGAACUCGUAGCACAAACCAAUGCCCCCCCAAAUUGGAGAGGCAGGUGAAUACAGAAAAAUCACAACUUACUACAGCAGAAACCUCCAUGUGGGGGAACCAGUACCACAGUAGGAAAACCUGAACUGCUAUUGAGGAAUUGUGGGAGGCUCAGUGUGGACAAGUCUGAGAAUUAAAAACUCCAGUAGGACUCAGUCAUAGAGGACCCCCAAACUUUUCUGAAAUUUACCUCCAGUUGCUCGACCAGGUCCUUAUGGUUUAUAUCGGAGAAAAACCUCCUUGUGCUUCCAAUAGGGGUAGGGGAAAAGGAACCAUUUUGAAAUACACCAGAGCAUUCUGUUCUUCUUAAUAAGGCCUGCCCUCAGAUGAAACUAUUUUACCAGAGCCUAACCUCUACUGGGGUUUUAUCAGACCUGGAUAAGACCCACUCUAGCUCCUUAUAGCUAUCCUUUUCCACCUAAGGUGGGAGAAUAGGGGUACUGAGAAGCACUGUUGAAGUUCACAGCCCAGCGGCACAGGCUCAUCAAAAAACUGAGACCUAAUCAUAGGACUAUAGAAUGCUUCUCCUCCCUCAACACCUUACCACAGUUUGCCACAGCUGCUUUUACCCAGUACAUUACGCCUACCUUUCAACAAAAAAAACAACAAGGCAUACUAGAAGGCAAAACACAAUUUGACAACACUACACAAACAUAAGAACCACCAAAGUCAGAAAUGUCAGAAUGUUGGAAUUAUCAGAUCAGGAAUUUUUUUAAAACUAUGAAAAGGGAUUUACUGGAAAAAGUAGACAACAUGCAAGAAUACAUGGUUAUUGUAAGCAGAGAGAUGACAGUUUUAAUAAAGAAUCUAGAAGACAUGCUGGAGUUCAAAAAACACUAACAGAAAUGAAGAAGCCCUUUUUUAAGUUAGUUGGUAGAGUGGACACAAUAGAUUAAUCUCUGAGUUUGAGGAUACGACAAUAGAAACUUUCAAAAUGGAAAAGCAGGGAGAAAAACAACUAAAAAAAAAAAGAAGUACAAAUGUCCAGUUAUAAUUAAGUCACAGGAACAAAAAGUAAUAUAGUCAAUAAUAUUUUAAUAACAUUGUACAGCGACAGAUGGUAACCACGCUUACCAUGACAAGCAUUGCAUAAUAUAUAGAAUUGUCAAAUCACUGUGUUGUAUACCUGAAACUAGUAUAACAUUGUACAUCAAGUACAACAAUAAAAAAAAUUUUAAAAAGAACAGAAUAUUUAAGAACUGUGGGGUAAUUACAAAAGUUUAACAUAUGUGUAAUGGGAAUAUCAAAUAUAGAAGAAAAAUGGGAACAAAAGCAAUGUUUGAGGAAAUAAUGAUGGAGAAUUUCCCCAAAUUCAUCAGAAAUCAAGCCAUAGAUCCAGGAAGCUUAGAGAACACCAAGCAGGAUAAAUGCCAAAACAAAACAAAGCAAAAACAAACAAAAAACACCUACACCUAGGCACAUCAUAUUCAAAAUUCAGAAAAUCAACGACAAAUCUCAAAAAAACUCAGAAGAAAAAAUCACCUUACCUAUAAAGAAACAAGGGCAAUAAUUAUAUUAGUUUUAUCCUCAGAAAUCAUGUAAGCAAGAGGAGUGGAAUGAAUUUGUUUAAAGUGCAAAACAAAACAAAAACAAAAACAAAAACAAAACCCACCAACCUAGAAUUCUGUAAUUUGUGAAAUUAUCUUUCAAAAGUUAAAAAGAAAUAACAUUUUAUCAGACAAACAAAAAUUGAGGAAAUUUGUUGCCAGAAAAUCUGCUUUACAAAAGAUGUUAAAAUUUUUCAGAGAGGAAAUUGAUAUGAGCCAGAAACUUGGAUCUGAGCAUAGAAAAUGGGUAAGUGAAGGUAAAAUAAAAGCUGUUAUUUUUCCUAUUCUUCAUUGCUCUAACAGGUAACAGUUGUUCAAAAUAAUAAUAGCAACAACAUAUUAAAUUAUGUAUGUUUAUGUGUGAUAUAUCUAUACCUACAUAGAUACAUAUGCUUAUGUAUAAGGAAAAUGAAUUUAAACAAUGAUGCAAGGGAUAGUAUGGAGGAAUUAGGAAUAUUUUGUUAUUAUAAAGUACUUACACUACCUGAGAAAUGGCAUAUUGUUAUUUGAAAGUGGACUUGGGUUAGUUAUAUGUUGCAGAUUCUAGGGAAAUGAUGAAGAAAAGUUUUUAAGAAGUAUAACUGAUAUGCUAAGAAAGGAGAGAAAAUGGAGUCAUAUAAAAUGCUCUAUUAAAACUAUGAAAGGCAGAAGUAUGGAAGACAAAAAUAGGGACAAUGAACAAGGGCAACAAAUAAAAAACUAUAGCAAAUAUGGUAAACAUUUCUCCAACUACCUCAAUAAUCAUUUAAAAUGUGAAUGGUCUAGGGGC
Molecule: long non-coding RNA, 4280 nt
Organism: Ailuropoda melanoleuca (giant panda)
Lineage: Eukaryota; Metazoa; Chordata; Mammalia; Carnivora; Ursidae
Exons: 3
Source: RefSeq, a predicted model, not a curated record